RNAcentral lists this ribosomal RNA (253 nucleotides) under uncultured bacterium. RNAcentral's name for it is "partial 16S ribosomal RNA". It matches the Rfam family "Bacterial small subunit ribosomal RNA", at positions 524 to 776 of the family's 1533-position model. The record is from RNAcentral.
UACGUAGGGUGCAAGCGUUGUCCGGAAUUAUUGGGCGUAAAGAGCUCGUAGGCGGUUUGUUGCGUCGGCUGUGAAAUCCCGAGGCUCAACCUCGGGUCUGCAGUCGAUACGAGCAAACUAGAGUGUUGCAGGGGAGACUGGAAUUCCUGGUGUAGCGGUGAAAUGCGCAGAUAUCAGGAGGAACACCGGUGGCGAAGGCAGCUCGCUGGGACGGUACUGACGCUAAGGCGCGAAAGCGUGGGGAGCGAACAGG